Molecule: ribosomal RNA, 225 nt
Filed under: uncultured bacterium
Lineage: Bacteria
Description: partial 16S ribosomal RNA
Rfam family: Bacterial small subunit ribosomal RNA
Source: RNAcentral
GCCGAUCUCGAAAACCUGUCCCAGUUCGGACUGGAGUCUGCAACCCGACUCCACGAAGUUGGAUUCGCUAGUAAUCGCGCAUCAGCCAUGGCGCGGUGAAUACGUUCCCGGGCCUUGUACACACCGCCCGUCAAGCCAUGGGAGCCGGGGGCGCCUGAAGUCCGGGACCGCGAGGACCGGCCUAGGGCGAAACUGGUGACUGGGGCUAAGUCGUAACAAGGUACC